GAAAUGCGAUAAGUAAUGUGAAUUGCAGAAUUCAGUGAAUCAUCGAAUCUUUGAACGCACCUUGCGCUCCUUGGUAUUCCUUGGAGCAUGCCUGUUUGAGUAUCAUGAAAUCUUCAAAGUAAAUCUUUUGUUAACUCAAUUGGUUUCUACUUUGGUAUUGGAGGUCUUUGCAGCUUCACACCUGCUCCUCUUUGUUCAUUAGCUGGAUCUCAGUGUUAUGCUUGGUUCCACUCGGCGUGAUAAGUUAUCUAUCGCUGAGGACACUGUAAAAGGUGGCCAAGGUAAAUGCAGAUGAACCGCUUCUAAUAGUCCAUUGACUUGUACAAUACUUUUAUGAUCUGAUCUCAAAUCAGGUAGGACUACCCGCUGAACUUAAGC
Molecule: unclassified non-coding RNA, 378 nt
Filed under: plant metagenome
Description: partial contains 5.8S ribosomal RNA, internal transcribed spacer 2, and large subunit ribosomal RNA
Rfam family: 5.8S ribosomal RNA (bases 1-105)
Source: RNAcentral